UACGUAGGUGGCAAGCGUUGUCCGGAAUUAUUGGGCGUAAAGCGCGCGCAGGCGGCUUCCCAAGUCCCUCUUAAAAGUGCGGGGCUUAACCCCGUGAUGGGAAGGAAACUGGGAAGCUGGAGUAUCGGAGAGGAAAGUGGAAUUCCUAGUGUAGCGGUGAAAUGCGUAGAGAUUAGGAAGAACACCGGUGGCGAAGGCGACUUUCUAGACGAAAACUGACGCUGAGGCGCGAAAGCGUGGGGAGCAAACAGG
RNAcentral lists this ribosomal RNA (252 nucleotides) under uncultured bacterium. RNAcentral describes it as "partial 16S ribosomal RNA". It matches the Rfam family "Bacterial small subunit ribosomal RNA", at positions 524 to 776 of the family's 1533-position model. The record is from RNAcentral.